Molecule: long non-coding RNA, 400 nt
Filed under: Rattus norvegicus (Norway rat)
Lineage: Eukaryota; Metazoa; Chordata; Mammalia; Rodentia; Muridae
Description: long non-coding RNA NONRATT008959
Source: RNAcentral
AAAGAAGGCGUGGCAGGAAGGAGGGAACUGUGGUCAGGGAACUGUUCGUGGGUACAGCUGUGCAGCUCUGUCUUAGCGCGUGAUCACCAGCCCCCAGCGCUGCAGCCCCCGCCCAGGAUGAUCCCAGCGGUGAUCUUGUUCUUGCUCCUUUUGGUGGAAGAAGCAGGUAAGCGGAAGGCUUCCGCAAGCGUUAGCUGGGCUUGAGUGUGGGAAUCUAGGGCAGGAACUGGGGAUAGAAGAAGGCUGGGCGUGUGGGCACAGGGCUGAGGCAGAUUCCGAACUUAGCCCUGUUAGGUCCACCACACCCAGACACUACCAUUAUUUCCUUCUUUAUUGUCCCCUUCUUACCUUUCAUACUGACUUUCGACCCUAUGUAAAGAAGGAGUUUGCCAGGGGUAUA